This 497-nucleotide ribosomal RNA is filed under the name uncultured bacterium. RNAcentral's name for it is "partial 16S ribosomal RNA". It matches the Rfam family "Bacterial small subunit ribosomal RNA", at positions 28 to 507 of the family's 1533-position model. The record is from RNAcentral.
GAUGAACGCUGGCGGCGUGCCUAAUACAUGCAAGUCGAGCGAACAGACGAGGAGCUUGCUCCUCUGACGUUAGCGGCGGACGGGUGAGUAACACGUGGAUAACCUACCUAUAAGACUGGGAUAACUUCGGGAAACCGGAGCUAAUACCGGAUAAUAUAUUGAACCGCAUGGUUCAAUAGUGAAAGACGGUUUUGCUGUCACUUAUAGAUGGAUCCGCGCCGCAUUAGCUAAUUGGUAAGGUAACGGCUUACCAAGGCAACGAUGCGUAGCCGACCUGAGAGGGUGAUCGGCCACACUGGAACUGAGGCACGGUCCAGACUCCUACGGGAGGCAGCAGUAGGGAAUCUUCCGCAAUGGGCGAAAGCUUGACGGAGCAACGCCGCGUGAGUGAUGAAGGUCUUCGGAUCGUAAAACUCUGUUAUUAGGGAAGAACAAAUGUGUAAGUAACUAUGCACGUCUUGACGGUACCUAAUCAGAAAGCCACGGCUAACUACGUG